GCUGUGCAAUAAUAAAAUCCUACUUCCACUACACCUGGUGUCAGAGAUUGGCUUGCUGCACAACGGGUGAGCGAACUCACUUCAGGUUUGCUAUCAAUUUGGUGACCCAGAUGGGACAAUGUCCUAAGUGGAUGUCUCGCCUGUGGCACACUGGCCUCCAGCUAAAGGCCUCUCUUGGAAGCUGUCCUGCAGCUGCCUGAGCCCCUGGUCUCAGGGACAGCCCCAGGCAACUGGCUGCUGACCAGACGUCGUUGGCCCACGGCGCUUUUGCUAUGGUGGUGGAAGAAACUAGGUUCGGGAUCCGAGAAGACGUCUCUUGACACAAUUGGAAACACUCGUUAUAACACCAAGGCUUUGACUGGGACAUCAUAUUUGAGAAAAACACACAAGCUCGGAUAUGAUGAGACAGCUUUUGAGGAACCAAGGUUGACUUUCUGGAAUAAAGCCACUUGGAAAUAUUGGCCUGAAAAACUUCUUAUUAAAUACCUGGUUACUUACUUACAUGAUACAGGCCUAACUUCAGGAGCCCACCAGCAUCACCGCCUUAUUAAAAGACUGGUUCAAUGAGAUGAAACGACCUAUGCCCCAUUUCAGCAGGAAGUAGCUAGAUCGGUUGCCACCCCAAAUCCCUCAAGAUUGAGGGACGGACAUAAAAUAGGGGGGAGUUGAUAUCGACCCUGAUAUCAGUUUCCCCACAUUAAACCCAGCAUAUAUGGGGUUAAAACCCAAACACUCAUUCCCUGCUUACUCUCUGGCUUCCUGGCUCCAGAAUCCACUAUCCUCCAUGGAGACAGACACCGUCAAAGACAAGCACCUGGACCAUCUCCUCCCCACAAAGAGAUACAGACUGGUGGGAAAGCUUCUGACCAGCAAGGUCAUGAACUCCCUCCUGUCUGCAAGUGUCUCAAGGCCAGAGACAGGCUGGUGGGAAAGCUCCGACCAGCAAGGCCAUAUGCUCCCCCUCCCCUACCUAAAGCCCCAAAUAAAAACCCUUCCUUUUAGCUUUUUCGGGGAGUUUGGGAUUUCAGCAUUAGCUGCCCUCUCUCCUUGCUCAGUGCUGUGCAAAAAUAAAGUUCCUACUUUCUUCCACCACACCCGGUGUCAGAGAUCGGCUUGCUGUGCAACGGGUGAGCGAACUCACUUCAGGUUCCAUAUCAGUCACACCAUGCUGUGGUAGGUGUCCCACAUAAAAUAGAGGAAGAUGGGCAUGGAUGUUAUCUCAGGGCCAAUCUUCCUCAAAAAAAAAAAAAAAUAAAGGAAACUAAAGCUCAGAGAGAAGUGACUGCCCUCAGACAUCACAGUUAAGAGGAGGGAUUCGAACCCAUAACCCUGCCUCCCUCCUUGUUCAGCCCCCAACCUACACUGCCUCUUUCCACCAUUAACAAUACCAGCCUUAUGCACGGAGGAUGAGGAAUCUGCGGGUUGAAGUGGUUUGGAAGGGCCUGGUGGACCAGCUGGGAGGGACCAGGGAAGGGUCUCCAGUCCGUAAGUCCCACGUGGAACCUUCUAGGGCCCGGGGAGGGCCAGGCUGCCACCUGAGUCACCCGCGUCCUCUUCAUCACUGGGGCAGCUCCAAUUUCCUGGGCCCUCCAUCCGUGCCGGGACCUUCGAGUCUCAAAGCUCCCAGGGCUGGGUCCUGUUCUCGUCCUCAUCUUCCAAGUGUGUAGAACCAGAGCUCAGAGAAACUCAUCAACUUGCCCGAGGACACACAGCUGACAAAUGGCUGAGCCUGAAGCAAACUCAAUUCCAAUGCCAGGUGAUAGAGAGGAAGUGUGAGAAAUCAGGCUGGCGUGAAAGUCAUCGUCCAGCCCGCUCCGAGUCCUUACCUCCAUGAGCGGAUGGGGGGAGUCACUUCUUGUCUUCCCACUAUCUUGGCCAAGACAACAGAUUCUCAAGACAGACCAAUGCCGACGUCAGCCAAGGAACCAGCCUUGUGCAGUUGGCUGUGACCUUGGAGAUGAGGUCAUGAGGACAGGCAUGGCUGUCUUGACCCUCCUGGACUGACAGAGAAUAUGGAUAUUCUCUGUGUGGGCACCUAUCUGUCAGUCCAAGAGGUGAUACCUGGAAGGGCGGGAAGAGAAUGAUGGGGCCGGGCAGAAGAGGAAGCUCCUAGGGGCUCCCUUGAGACCUCCUCCCUCCUAGUUUCCUGAUCAUUCGUCUGCGGGAUGCUCCCAUCUUGCUGUGAGCCCUGGGGCCUGCGUUCCUCUCCUCUCACCAGCUGCCAACACCCCAUCGCCCAGCUCACUAGGUCCCUGGAAGCCACCUAAACGAGCAGCCUAUUUUUCACCAAACUCUUGGGCUAUAAGCAAAAGAGACAUACCAAACUGGCUCAAUAAAAAACAAAAGGAAGAAUUUAAUAUGAGGAUCUGGGAACCCAAGGGUGUAUCAGUUAGCAUUUGCUGCCUGACAAACUACCCCCCAAAACUUCAUGACUUGAACCCACAGCUGUUCAUUUAGUUUGCAAUUCUGCGGGUUAUCCACUGGGGCCAGGCUCAGCCAGGCAGCUCUUCUGCUCCCUGCUGGACUCCCUCACGUGUCUGUGGUCAGCCGGCAGGUCCUCCGGGCCCUGAGUGGGCUUCUACAGCCUCAGCUGGGACGAGUGGCCUCUCCUCCACGUCAUCGAUCAUCCUCUAGCCGGCGGCCCCGGGCCUCUUCUCAUGACAGAGGCUGGAUUCCAAGAGUGAGGGCAGAAGUCGACACGCCUCGCAGAGCCAAGGUCGUGAUCACUUCUGCCACAUUCAGUCGGCCAAAGUGUGUCACACGGCCAGCCAGAGGCAAGGGGGUAGGGACGCUGACUGCACCCACGGACGGGAGGGGAAGAACCCAUGGCUGGUUCUGCCAUCUGGCACCAAAGGCUGGAUGUGUGGUCGGAGAGCAGGAAAGCUGCUGGGCCCAGGGCACCUGCUCGCUGACCCUCAGCCCCAUCCCUCACCCCUUGGAAUCCUCUUCUCCAGGGUCGUGGGACCCACCGUUCUCUCCCUCUGUCUCCAUGCCAAUGGGCGCUCACCGCUUCUCCGUCCACCAUCCCGUGGCUUCCACGUCCACCGCACCUCUGUUCGAGGGACCUGCCAACUGGCCCAGAAUCCUUUGCCUUGUGGCUGGAUUUCCGAUGACCCUGGAGAAGGCGUCCAGUGGGUCUGGUGUCAGCCUCAGUCCCCUUGCUCAAAUCUCCGGGGGCCUCGGACCUGUCUGGGGGGGCUCAGUGCUCAGAAAACAGGGGGCAGGUUUUGCCUUACCUGCUGGGAAGACACCCCAAAAAUAUGUCUUCUACACAUGCAGCUUGGUUUUGCUGCUUUAAAAAAAGGAACUUCCACACACAGAGAAGUGGCAGAAGCGGUCACGACCCCCGGAAAUCAACAGCUUCCUCUCCCUGGAGAAUCCUGAUGGGCGGCAGGCAAUGGGGAAACGAGCGUGGAUGAAACCCCCGUGUGAAUCUAUGCAACAGUUGAGGAACGGUCAGUGCUGCUGUGACCGACACAAAGCCACCGACCACGUCACUGUGAUUAGUAAUAAUAGCAGUAGACCGACUUCAGGUUUCGGCUGAGGGCUGUCUGCGUCCCAGCCACCUCCCUACGUUCCUUAUGGGACUCAUAUGUUGUAUCCUCACUGUACCCAUUGAGGGAAAGAGAAGCCAGCCCCACCUUAGAGACGAAGCAGGUGAGGCUCAGAGAUGGCAAGCGACUUGCCCAAGGUCACACAGCCACAUGUGAUGCCAACUCCAGUCUGCCCAAUUCCCAAGCCUACCCCUUAGACCAGCGUGUCC
RNAcentral lists this long non-coding RNA (3763 nucleotides) under Equus caballus (horse). RNAcentral's name for it is "lncRNA (ENSECAG00000050092.1)". The record is from RNAcentral. Lineage: Eukaryota; Metazoa; Chordata; Mammalia; Perissodactyla; Equidae.